CGCGGCCUAUCAGCUUGUUGGUGAGGUAACGGCUCACCAAGGCGACGACGGGUAGCCGGCCUGAGAGGGUGACCGGCCACACUGGGACUGAGACACGGCCCAGACUCCUACGGGAGGCAGCAGUGGGGAAUAUUGCACAAUGGGCGCAAGCCUGAUGCAGCGACGCCGCGUGAGGGAUGACGGCCUUCGGGUUGUAAACCUCUGUUAGCAGGGAAGAAGAGAGAUUGACGGUACCUGCAGAGAAAGCGCCGGCUAACUACGUGCCAGCAGCCGCGGUAAUACGUAGGGCGCGAGCGUUGUCCGGAAUUAUUGGGCGUAAAGAGCUUGUAGGCGGUUUGUCGCGUCUGCUGUGAAAGGCCGGAGCUUAACUCCGUGUAUUGCAGUGGGUACGGGCAGACUAGAGUGCAGUAGGGGAGACUGGAAUUCCUGGUGUAGCGGUGGAAUGCGCAGAUAUCAGGAGGAACACCGAUGGCGAAGGCAGGUCUCUGGGCUGUAACUGACGCUGAGAAGCGAAAGCAUGGGGAGCGAACAGGAUUAGAUACCCUGGUAGUCCAUGCCGUAAACGUUGGGCACUAGGUGUGGGGGACAUUCCACGUUUUCCGCGCCGUAGCUAACGCAUUAAGUGCCCCGCCUGGGGAGUACGG
RNAcentral lists this ribosomal RNA (644 nucleotides) under uncultured bacterium. RNAcentral describes it as "bacterial SSU rRNA". It matches the Rfam family "Bacterial small subunit ribosomal RNA", at positions 232 to 885 of the family's 1533-position model. The record is from RNAcentral.